Molecule: long non-coding RNA, 676 nt
Organism: Triticum aestivum (bread wheat)
Lineage: Eukaryota; Viridiplantae; Streptophyta; Magnoliopsida; Poales; Poaceae
Exons: 2
Source: RefSeq, a predicted model, not a curated record
CUUCACCUAAAAAAAAAUCCCAUCGGCCCUCACAUUUCUCCCUGUCGUUCCCCAUUCUUCCUUGGUCGUCGCCAGCUCCCUCUCCCCGCCUCCUCAGGCCACCCCUCCCCUUCGUACCCACCGCCACCAAGAGGUUCGCAACCCCUGCUCUUCCCUGCCUUUCCAUCGAAUCCGGCCGCCCAAGUGGCCGAGGAGGUCCCCAAGCUCGGCGUGCACGGGAGCAUCCCAGUGCUAGGCUGCGUCGGAGGUGCGAGACUUCCACGCCCCUGCUCUUCCCCGUCCUUCUUCGAAUCUGGUCGCCGAAGUGCCGAAGGAUGCGCUUGAGCUCAGCAUGCUCACGGGCGACCCAGCGCGGAUGCCCGCAACAAGACAACAAGUAGCGGGCGUGGGUGCGCAAAAAUAUAUGGGCACAGUUCGAUGCCUCCACUGGCGUGCCUCUGUUUGAUGUGCUAUUCAAGAUCCCUGUACAAUUGUGUUAUUCAAGAUACAAUGGCACUUGAUGAUGCUUGCUAAGAAGGUCUGCAAUAUGCACUGGACUGUUGCUUGCCAGAUGACUGGAAGAUGGGUACUUCAUCCUAUCUUGUUUGUUCAUUUGAAGCAAGAUAAAUAAGAUUCAUGCAUUGUAAUGAAAACUGCAGAUUUAGCCAAACUCAACUGAUGGUGUAAUAUCUCUUCA